CCUACGGGAGGCAGCAGUGGGGAAUAUUGGGCAAUGGGGGAAACCCUGACCCAGCAACGCCGCGUGAGGGAAGAAGGUUUUCGGAUCGUAAACCUCUGUCCUUGGUGAAGAGUAAGAGACGGUAGCCAAGGAGGAAGCCCCGGCUAACUACGUGCCAGCAGCCGCGGUAAU
RNAcentral lists this ribosomal RNA (171 nucleotides) under uncultured rumen bacterium. Its description in RNAcentral is "partial 16S ribosomal RNA". It matches the Rfam family "Bacterial small subunit ribosomal RNA", at positions 338 to 524 of the family's 1533-position model. The record is from RNAcentral.